Tachysurus fulvidraco (yellow catfish) is the source of this 527-nucleotide long non-coding RNA. RefSeq lists it as uncharacterized. The transcript has 3 exons. The record is from RefSeq and is a predicted model, not a curated record. NCBI's taxonomy places the organism in Eukaryota, Metazoa, Chordata, Actinopteri, Siluriformes, Bagridae.
GAAACUAGCUGGAAAAGAAAAUGUCCAUUUGGCCAAACGUUGUGUGUUUUUAUCUCCCUGGAUGUUCUUCCAGACUCCUGAGAUUUCAUUCAUGUCACUUCACAUUUAAUCCCUCACCUCUUCUCUCCCACUUUCCUCCUCUCUCUCUGCCGAUCUCUUCAGCGGAGAACCUGUGUUUUUGGCAGGCGUGUGAGGACAUGCGACACGGAGAGACCUCAAAAUCCCAGAGAAGUGGAUGAGAUUUACAAGCAGUACCUCGCUCCUGGAGCCACACAGUCAGUCAACAUCGAUGGAAAGACAAUGGCCAUCACUCUGGAGGGAAUGAAGAACCCAGAUCGCUUCGUGUUUGACAGUGCACAGACACACAUCUACGUCCUCAUGAAGAAGGAUUCAUACACUCGCUAUCUAAAGUCUGAAGAGUACAAAAGCUUGUUAGCCAAAACUGUAGUACCACAGUAAACAAAGAAGAGGUACACACUCUCUCUCUCUCUCUCUCUCACACACACACACACACACACACACAGACA